This 417-nucleotide ribosomal RNA is filed under the name Escherichia coli. RNAcentral's name for it is "partial 23S ribosomal RNA". It matches the Rfam family "Bacterial large subunit ribosomal RNA", at positions 609 to 1026 of the family's 2925-position model. The record is from RNAcentral. Lineage: Bacteria; Pseudomonadati; Pseudomonadota; Gammaproteobacteria; Enterobacterales; Enterobacteriaceae.
UGUAUAAUGGGUCAGCGACUUAUAUUCUGUAGCAAGGUUAACCGAAUAGGGGAGCCGAAGGGAAACCGAGUCUUAACUGGGCGUUAAGUUGCAGGGUAUAGACCCGAAACCCGGUGAUCUAGCCAUGGGCAGGUUGAAGGUUGGGUAACACUAACUGGAGGACCGAACCGACUAAUGUUGAAAAAUUAGCGGAUGACUUGUGGCUGGGGGUGAAAGGCCAAUCAAACCGGGAGAUAGCUGGUUCUCCCCGAAAGCUAUUUAGGUAGCGCCUCGUGAAUUCAUCUCCGGGGGUAGAGCACUGUUUCGGCAAGGGGGUCAUCCCGACUUACCAACCCGAUGCAAACUGCGAAUACCGGAGAAUGUUAUCACGGGAGACACACGGCGGGUGCUAACGUCCGUCGUGAAGAGGGAAACAAC